Molecule: long non-coding RNA, 2380 nt
Filed under: Apteryx rowi (Okarito brown kiwi)
Lineage: Eukaryota; Metazoa; Chordata; Aves; Apterygiformes; Apterygidae
Description: lncRNA (ENSARWG00000006978.1)
Source: RNAcentral
GGCAAUAACUACACUGAGAAAAGUGGUGAGCUGUGGAGGGUGCAGAAGGGCAAGCGCCAGCCCCGAGGGCCCGCUGGAGAGGUGAGUUACAGGCGCGUUCUGCCCGGGUGAGGGAAGGCCGGGAGGGACGCGGGAACCUGGAGCAUUCGCCCAAGCCAAGGUCCUUGCAGGAAAAUGUCCGGGAAACUUGUGUCCUAAUGUCCCUGUAUGGGGAGGGGGCAAUCUGGGCCCCAUGCACCCUCCAAAAAGACCUGAACCCCUUUUGCCAUGGGGGGAGGACCGCAAAGAGCCUGCAGAUGCACUGGGGGUGGGCAGCCACGCAGCGGGGUCAAAGGGCUUUGCUCCCUCCGGGUGCCGGCGGGGCCGAGCAUCCCUGGUGUUACACGGGCACCCCAAAUGUAAUGGGGGGUGGACCCAGGGCACAGGGCUGACGGGGAAAAGGCAGAGCCAAAAAAAGCCAGGCAGUUCCCUGCCAGAGCCUCCUCCCCGCCUGGGUGCGGGACAUGACAGCCGGGGGUCAGCAAGCAACCACGCAGCCCGGGACGAAGGGCUGCCCGGAGCGAUGCCCGGGAAGCACCGAUUGCUCAYGCUUCUGCGUCCUCUGGGCCGCGAUGGUGGCCGGACUUCACACGAGGCUGCGCAGGCGGCAGGAAAACCCGGCCAAAGGGAGCCACUCCGCAGCGCGCAGGCAUGGCAGGAGCGUGGCCCCGUGCACCAACCUUAGCGGUGCCGUGGCCCCCUGCCCACGACAGCGCGCUGCUCUGCGGAUCCCGGCAGCCUGACGGAGGAGCCCCUGCUCUCGGCUGCCGCUCCGCUGCUGCUGGCUGCAGAGUCAUAACGCGGAUUCCUGGGGAUGAAGGGGCUGGACGGGGCCAGGGGCUCAUGUCUUCUCCUCCAUGGGGCGGCGAGUCCACGUGCUUGUUCUGCUCUCCUGCUGGGCCAGAUCCUGCAGCAUCCCUGCGGGUCCAGCACCAGCUGCCCCGGGCGCAGGGCACGCAGGUUUGGGGUUUUUUCCAUUCAAAACUGAGGAAUCCCGAAACAGAGAGUACAUGGCUUAGAGGACCAAAAAUAUGGGUCUCUGGCGGCGUCCCCUCACCUGAAGGAGGUUCCUCUGCCAGCAGCCAGGGAAACCAGGAUGCAGCGAAAGCGUCUUCGAGCGCAGAAAGCAUGGCUUUCUUCCUCCUUUGCUUCCCAGCUCUUAAAGAAAUGCGGAUAUACCUGGGGAGGGUAUUGAGCAUAGAGCAACAGCUCCAAAAGCCCGGCUGCUCCCGGGGUGAGAUGGCGUGGGAGGAGGCGCAUAGUGAAAAGCCGGGAGCCAAGCAGGGACUUGGCCCUGUGUUCACCAGAAAGGCCCAUAACCAACAGUUUUCYGCUCACUGAAGCCACCAAUGGCCACUGAAUCGCUCUGGUUGUCACCUGGGUUUUAAGCAGGCUGUGAGGCACCAGCGUCCCUGCAGCUGGAGAGCAUCCACGUGGCACGGUGAGAGGAGGCUGCUUUUCCCUUUGCAAACCAGAACAGAUCCUGUCUUCUGUUCAAAGCAUUUUGUUUUKUCCUCCCCUAAAUGUCACCCCUGCAAACGCCCGUCCGGCUGCAUCGGGGCACACUGGCUCCAUCUCUGCCCGCRUCCUCUGGGGCUGGGGUGCUGCACCGGCCCCUUCGUGCUGAUUGCAGCAGCUUAAUUGAACCACGGGAAAAAAAAAAAAAUCUCAUUUGCAAAUAUUCCCUUUGAUUUUGUAUUAUUAUUAUUAUUAAGUCAACGGAGCGUGGCUGAAAAUUAAGAGCGAGAAGAAGAGCAGAAAAAGGAAUCGGUUGAGUUUCCCUUGGCUCACCAUGCUCUUAGCCGAGGUGCCUCCCUUUGCCAGCCUGCUGCAAGGAUCCCACCUGCACGCAGCAGCCGGGAGCGAGGCCCACAAGGCCCACGGCCAAGCCAAGGCUGUGUUUCCCUGUCUCCGGUCUCACAUAGGGUGUCCCAUGUCCUGCAUCCCCUGUGCCGUGUCCCCAGUCCCACGGUGGUGGUGCAAGGCCAUCCAAACCUAUGGUUUUCAGGUUUAAUCCUAUCUCCUCGGCAAGAUGAACGGUGCCGAAGCAGCUGGGGGGAGGACGCUGCAGGAGGAUGGUGUUGCUUCUGCAAUCCCAUCCCCAACUCUCCACACCCCUCAGCCAUGGCUCGGCCGCUCCGUGGCGGGGCUGCUUGAACCUGCCAGGGCCUCCCAAGCUAUUCGACACCUCAAAGGGGGGGGCAGGAGAAAUGCGAAUCUGCCGAAACUUGUCUCCUGGGUGGAUCGCGACACCUCCCGGCUGCAGUGGCGGGUGUCCGCUCUGGCGCGAGCCUUGGAUGCUGAUGGGGAGGAAGGCUCUCCGUGACGCCCUCCAGCAGCA